Molecule: ribosomal RNA, 189 nt
Filed under: Bacteroides fragilis
Lineage: Bacteria; Pseudomonadati; Bacteroidota; Bacteroidia; Bacteroidales; Bacteroidaceae
Description: partial 16S ribosomal RNA
Rfam family: Bacterial small subunit ribosomal RNA
Source: RNAcentral
ACAAUGAAGAGUUUGAUCCUGGCUCAGGAUGAACGCUAGCUACAGGCUUAACACAUGCAAGUCGAGGGGCAUCAGGAAGAAAGCUUGCUUUCUUUGCUGGCGACCGGCGCACGGGUGAGUAACACGUAUCCAACCUGCCCUUUACUCGGGGAUAGCCUUUCGAAAGAAAGAUUAAUACCCGAUAGCAUA